This 606-nucleotide ribosomal RNA is filed under the name Salmonella enterica subsp. enterica serovar Typhimurium. RNAcentral's name for it is "partial 23S ribosomal RNA". It matches the Rfam family "Bacterial large subunit ribosomal RNA", at positions 1 to 637 of the family's 2925-position model. The record is from RNAcentral. Lineage: Bacteria; Pseudomonadati; Pseudomonadota; Gammaproteobacteria; Enterobacterales; Enterobacteriaceae.
GGGUUGUGAGGUUAAGCGACUAAGCGUACACGGUGGAUGCCCUGGCAGUCAGAGGCGAUGAAGGGCGUGCUAAUCUGCGAUAAGCGCCGGUAAGGUGAUAUGAACCGUUAUAACCGGCGAUACCCGAAUGGGGAAACCCAGUGUGAUUCGUCACACUAUCAUUAACUGAAUCCAUAGGUUAAUGAGGCGAACCGGGGGAACUGAAACAUCUAAGUACCCCGAGGAAAAGAAAUCAACCGAGAUUCCCCCAGUAGCGGCGAGCGAACGGGGAGGAGCCCAGAGCCUGAAUCAGCAUGUGUGUUAGUGGAAGCGUCUGGAAAGGCGCGCGAUACAGGGUGACAGCCCCGUACACAAAAGCGCAUGUGCUGUGAGCUCGAUGAGUAGGGCGGGACACGUGGUAUCCUGUCUGAAUAUGGGGGGACCAUCCUCCAAGGCUAAAUACUCCUGACUGACCGAUAGUGAACCAGUACCGUGAGGGAAAGGCGAAAAGAACCCCGGCGAGGGGAGUGAAAAAGAACCUGAAACCGUGUACGUACAAGCAGUGGGAGCACCCUUCGGGGUGUGACUGCGUACCUUUUGUAUAAUGGGUCAGCGACUUAUAUUCUG